GAUGAACGCUGGCGGCGUGCCUAAUACAUGCAAGUCGAGCGAACAGACGAGGAGCUUGCUCCUCUGACGUUAGCGGCGGACGGGUGAGUAACACGUGGUUAACCUACCUAUAAGACUGGGAUAACUUCGGGAAACCGGAGCUAAUACCGGAUAAUAUAUUGAACCGCAUGGUUCAAUAGUGAAAGACGGUUUUGCUGUCACUUAUAGAUGGAUCCGCGCCGCAUUAACUAGUUGGUAAGGUAACGGCUUACCAAGGCAACGAUGCGUAGCCGACCUGAGAGGGUGAUCGGCCACACUGGAACUGAGACACGGUCCAGACUCCUACGGGAGGCAGCAGUAGGGAAUCUUCCGCAAUGGGCGAAAGCCUGACGGAGCAACGCCGCGUGAGUGAUGAAGGUCUUCGGAUCGUAAAACUCUGUUAUUAGGGAAGAACAAAUGUGUAAGUAACUAUGCACGUCUUGACGGUACCUAAUCAGAAAGCCACGGCUAACUACGUG
This 497-nucleotide ribosomal RNA is filed under the name uncultured bacterium. Its description in RNAcentral is "partial 16S ribosomal RNA". It matches the Rfam family "Bacterial small subunit ribosomal RNA", at positions 28 to 507 of the family's 1533-position model. The record is from RNAcentral.